UUUACAGUACCUUGAUAGCCAAAUUCUUAUGGAUGAAUAUCAAAGCAAUUUUGAUUUAGAUGAAGAAAUAACUUCUACAAGUCAAAAAAAAAUUAGAAGUUGGGGCACAAUUUGAAUCAUUUAAUGAUUUGCGAGAAGC
Long non-coding RNA from Gordionus sp. m RMFG-2023, 139 nucleotides. RefSeq lists it as uncharacterized. The transcript has 3 exons. The record is from RefSeq and is a predicted model, not a curated record. Lineage: Eukaryota; Metazoa; Nematomorpha; Gordioida; Chordodea; Parachordodidae.